GCGAGCGGGAUAGCUGGCUUCGGAAAACAGCCAUAAGAUGGCAGGCUUUGUAAAAUAUCAAAGCGUUUUCCUCAAAAAUCUUUUAGGGAUUUUUGGGGCCUCGAAAAUCCAAACAUUUGUGAGGAUUUUCGUUGCUGAGGAAGGUCCACACACCCUUCACAUUUAGUGAUGUAGCGCGAUUGCCGCGAGGCAACUGCCGCGAGGUUAGAGCAACGCAACAGAAACGGCACAGCUCUCUUCGAGCAAUGAACUUUGCAGGAAGCUAAGACAAGAGAGAUUUGAUGAAACGAGCGCCUUCGCUGGUGCAAGGCUUAGAGCCGCAUAGUUGAAUGCCGGCAAAAACUGUUUGCAUUCAGUUGCAAAGUUUUACAGAACGUGGCCUAUUUCCAGCUCGC
RNAcentral lists this RNase P RNA (395 nucleotides) under Candidatus Nanoarchaeia archaeon. Its description in RNAcentral is "RNase P RNA component". It matches the Rfam family "Archaeal RNase P". From Rfam's summary of the family: Ribonuclease P (RNase P) is a ubiquitous endoribonuclease, found in archaea, bacteria and eukarya as well as chloroplasts and mitochondria. The record is from RNAcentral. Lineage: Archaea; Nanobdellati; Nanobdellota; Candidatus Nanoarchaeia.